Non-coding RNA from Triticum aestivum (bread wheat), 115 nucleotides. The record is from Rfam. NCBI's taxonomy places the organism in Eukaryota, Viridiplantae, Streptophyta, Magnoliopsida, Poales, Poaceae.
AAAGUAAUCCCUCCGUUUGGAAUUAUUUGUCUUAAAAAUGAAUGUAUCUAGAACUAAAAUACAUCUAGAUACAUCCAUUUUCGUGACAAGUAAUUCCGAACGGAGGAAGUAUUUU